UCCAAUACAUAUUAUUAUGUAAAUUGUAAAUACUAAAUAUUAAAUAAUAAUAUGAAAUAUACUGAUCAAGGUGGUUUUAUAAUAUUAUAUAAAUUAUUAUAAAUCCACCUUGGUUAUGAUAUAUGGCAUGAUACAAUAUAUUAUACAAAUUAUGUUCGUGGUCUACCGUUUUGUGUUCUAUCGGCAGCUGCUAUUGUUCAGCCCAUAGAAAAGAGAUUAAGUUUUGAUUAAGAGAUUUGGUUCAGCCCAAAAGUCAAAAGGCAUCCCACCGAGGCAUGAGCACAACCGAAAAUUAUUUACACUUCCGAAUUCUGACUUAGACUUUAAUCUGAGUAUCUAUUUUCAAUUAAUUUAUCAUUAUUAUUAUUAUUUUUACUACUCCCCAUGAUUUCAGGUAAAAGUGUCAAAAGGCUAGGUAUUGCAUUAUUCCAACAAAAGAUUAUAUUUUCAAUGAUAUAAUUGAUGUACAAAGCGUUCCAAAGAAGUCGAAAUCGAGUGAUACUGGGAGUCUAGCGGUUGAAGAGGUGCCAUACACAAUAUGUAGACUAAAAGAUAUGGUUCGACAUAUUUAUCAUUUGAAAGUUGUUAUAGAAAACCAUCAGCUAUUCGACAAGGUUUGGUCUAAAAUAAAGCUGGUAAAGACUGACAGUGACAUAAUAAAUCCAGCUUGCAGCUUAAAAUAAUAUGACCGGUGAAGUACAGUCAUCAAGUUCUUUAUCAAAAAAAAAUAAUUUAUUUAACCAAUUGAUACAGCCAAAAUUAUUCUCCUGCCUUCUACUUUGGAUGACAAUACCAUUAUCUGAAAAUAAAAACGAUUUUGUACAGCCACCAUUAGCAAUAGAAGUUUAUUUCCAACUGUCAAAAAAUGUAUUAACAUUAAUAAGAACUAUGAAAUUUCUAUUUGGAUUUAUGGGAUUAAGAGUAUUGUGGUACAAAAGAAGCUUUUAAUUUAUAUUUAAAAGUUAAAUAUUGACGACUUUAAUACUAGUUCAAUAACCAUGUAGAAUAAUAUGCUUUAUUAGACAGCUUCAACCGAAUUAAGAAAAAAAAAGGCUUGGGACUACUUUCAAAAAGUUCACAAAGAAGACAUAAAACAUCCCAGAAAUUUAGGAAUUGUACCUCGGAUAAUUGCCCAAGACCUAGACUUGACGCCAAUGUCAAAAAUGCGAGUUCGACUACGUACUCGGGUUUUUAUUAUGAGUAUGGCAAACACAAUAUGAUACUACAUUGUGGUCAAAUUUUAGUUAGAAAAUUGAUUUACAUCUAAGGAGAGGUUAAGGUGUUAUGAUAGCUCAGCUAGUAUUAAAAGCAAUAUCACUGCUAGAAAAUAUUGCAUUAUAUAUUGAUGGUAUAAUGUGUGUUGGUGCCACUACCAAUUGUCACAUGUGAAAAAAAAAACAGAGUUGAUGGAACAAAAGAUAAUUUAAAGAAUUACUUUGAAACAUUCAAUUGAUCCAAGUCAUAAAAUCUAUGCAACUUCUGUUUCUGGGGAAAGUUUUUCAUUAAAGGUAAAAAUAAUAUUUCAUGAAACCAUUUGGCAAAAACCGACUUCAUGCGGAUGAUUUCCAGUUAUCUAUUUCACUGGUUUUAAGCUGACGUUUCGGACUUAUUGCAGAGUCCAUCUUCAGGGUGAUGAUAGUCACGACUGUUCAUUUGUCGUUGCCAUGCUGAGUACAAAAUUAAAUACGGACGUACUUGCUGGGACUUGGGUAAAACGGACCCAUUUAACAUGCCAUGCUUUACCCUAAAAAUCAACA
Molecule: long non-coding RNA, 1757 nt
Organism: Adelges cooleyi (spruce gall adelgid)
Lineage: Eukaryota; Metazoa; Arthropoda; Insecta; Hemiptera; Adelgidae
Exons: 10
Source: RefSeq, a predicted model, not a curated record